Molecule: long non-coding RNA, 1089 nt
Organism: Agelaius phoeniceus (red-winged blackbird)
Lineage: Eukaryota; Metazoa; Chordata; Aves; Passeriformes; Icteridae
Source: RefSeq, a predicted model, not a curated record
UUUUUGUUCUCUUCUUUUUUCUCUCUUCUUUCUUCUCCCUUCUUUCUUUUUCCUUUCCCCGUGAUACUUUUUUUCUUCCUCCCCUUUUCUCCUUCGUUUCCCUCCUUGCCCUUUUUUCUUUAUUCCAUUUUUCGUUUUACUUCCCCCAUUUUAAUUUUCUUUUUUUCUUGUUCUUAUUUACUUUUUUUGUAUCCCUUUACACCCCUCUGUACUCUUUUCUUUCCCCCUUUUUUCUUCCCAUUUUUCACCUUUUUUAUUUUGUUUUCCCCUCUUUCUUCUUGUUUCCUCCUUCCCCCACCCUUUUUAUUUUUUUCUCCUUUCCCCUCCCCUCAUAUUUUUGUAGGGUUGGUGUGGGGUUUUUUCCUCUCCUGCUUUGUUUUUUCUUUUCAUUUUUUUUCCUUGCAUUUCCGACAGCCAACCAAGCAAGAACCAGCUGGUACAGAUUUAACCCUCUGCAAUCCCAUCUCCCACUAUGGAAAACUGACCACAGCCAAGCCGUUGGACAACCUGCCAAUUCCUAUUCCUACUUCCCGGGGAACGGGCGCAGCAGAAAGGGCUUGCGCCUUUGAGUUCUUCAAAUUAAUAACCCUGGGAAGGGCAGAGAGCCGGCAGAUGAAAGCCAAGGUACGGACUUUGAUCGUGCAAUCGGAGCCAUGCGGGCAGGCUCCCGAACCAUGUGGAGCACCCCUGAAGGUCAGCCUGGGCUGAUCAGAUUGCAGCAAGAGAGCCAUGGAAAGCAGGGCAAACGGAGGUGGAAAAAUCUAUACACCCAAAUAUCUGCCAAGAGAUGAAAGAAAAGUUUGCCUCUGAUGCUGGGAUUUAUGAAUAAGAUCAGCUGGCUGCACAACACCAUGCAUCCCUAUGAAUGAAUACCUUUCCUGAGGAAGAAAGAGCACAUGGAAAAGUGAUUGCUCUGCUACUCCUAAACUCUGGAAUUCUCUUGAUCUGCUGUUAGAAGCCAGAGAAGAUCACACAGAGUACUGCAUACAUACGUACAUGUGCUUUAUCCAGUGAUCUCUUUUGAAGCAAACCUGAAAAAGGCUGUAGAUGAUGUGCACAUUUCAGCUAUUAAAGGUCAUGGAUAAGACA